This 70-nucleotide transfer RNA is filed under the name Ips typographus. Its description in RNAcentral is "tRNA-Arg". The record is from RNAcentral. Lineage: Eukaryota; Metazoa; Arthropoda; Insecta; Coleoptera; Curculionidae.
UGACGGAAAACAAAAAUUUGUAUUUAAUUUCGACUUAAACCUCUGGUAAAUCUUAAUUUACCUCCGUUAA